GACGAACGCUGGCGGCGUGCUUAACACAUGCAAGUCGAACGGAAAGGCCCUGCUUUUGUGGGGUGCUCGAGUGGCGAACGGGUGAGUAACACGUGAGUAACCUGCCCUUGACUUUGGGAUAACUUCAGGAAACUGGGGCUAAUACCGGAUAGGAGCUCCUGCUGCAUGGUGGGGGUUGGAAAGUUUCGGCGGUUGGGGAUGGACUCGCGGCUUAUCAGCUUGUUGGUGGGGUAGUGGCUUACCAAGGCUUUGACGGGUAGCCGGCCUGAGAGGGUGACCGGCCACAUUGGGACUGAGCUACGGCCCAGACUCCUCCGGGAGGCAGCAGUGCGGAAUAUUGCACAAUGGGCGGAAGCCUGAUGCAGCAACGCCGCGUGGGGGAUGACGGCCUUCGGGUUGUAAACCGCUUUCGCCUGUGACGAAGCGUGAGUGACGGUAAUGGGUAAAGAAGCACCGGCUAACUACGUG
This 468-nucleotide ribosomal RNA is filed under the name uncultured bacterium. Its description in RNAcentral is "partial 16S ribosomal RNA". It matches the Rfam family "Bacterial small subunit ribosomal RNA", at positions 28 to 507 of the family's 1533-position model. The record is from RNAcentral.